RNAcentral lists this ribosomal RNA (433 nucleotides) under uncultured bacterium. RNAcentral describes it as "partial 16S ribosomal RNA". It matches the Rfam family "Bacterial small subunit ribosomal RNA", at positions 29 to 507 of the family's 1533-position model. The record is from RNAcentral.
AACGAACGCUGGCGGCAUGCCUAACACAUGCAAGUCGAACGAGACCUUCGGGUCUAGUGGCGCACGGGUGCGUAACGCGUGGGAACCUGCCCCUAGGUUCGGAAUAACUCCCCGAAAGGGGUGCUAAUACCGGAUAAUGUCUUCGGACCAAAGAUUUAUCGCCUUUGGAUGGGCCCGCGUUGGAUUAGCUAGUUGGUAGGGUAAAAGCCUACCAAGGCGACGAUCCAUAGCUGGUCUGAGGGGAUGAUCAGCCACACUGGGACUGAGGCACGGCCCAGACUCCUACGGGAGGCAGCAGUGGGGAAUAUUGGACAAUGGGCGAAAGCCUGAUCCAGCAAUGCCGCGUGAGUGAUGAAGGCCUUAGGGUUGUAAAGCUCUUUUACCCGGGAUGAUAAUGACAGUACCGGGAGAAUAAGCUCCGGCUAACUCCGUG